AGUGGAUGGGGAGCAACCUAGUUGUGCGUGUGUAAAGGUAGUGCCAAGAAAAGCGAUGAUCAUGUUGAAAAUCAAUUCCCGGUACCCGAAACCGACACAGGUGGGCAAGUAGAGAAUACUAAGGGGCGCGAGGUAACUCUCUCCAAGGAACUCGGCAAAAUGACCCCGUAACUUAGGGAGAAGGGGUGCCACCGAGAGGUGGUCGCAGUGAAGAGGCCCAGGCGACUGUUUAGCAAAAACAUAGGUCUCUGCAAACUCGAAAGAGGAGGUAUAGGGGCUGACGCCUGCCCAGUGCCGGAAGGUUAAAGAAGUUGGUCAGUUUUAGGAUGAAGCUAGCGACUGAAGCCCCGGUGAACGGCGGCCGUAACUAUAACGGUCCUAAGGUAGCGAAAUUCCUUGUCGGGUAAGUUCCGACCCGCACGAAAGGCGUAACGAUCUGGGCGCUGUCUCGGAGAGAGGCUCGGCGAAAUAGGAUUGUCUGUGAAGAUACGGACUACCUGCAUUUGGACAGAAAGACCCUAUGAAGCUUUACUAUAGCUUGGAAUUGUGUUCGGGCUUCCUGUGCGCAGGAUAGGUGGGAGGCGUAGAAGGUAUUCUUGUGGGGAUACUGGAGCCAACGGUGAGAUACCACUCUCAGGAGGCUAGAAUUCUAACUUAAUUAAGGACAGUUUCAGGUGGGUAGUUUGACUGGGGCGGUCGCCUCCAAAAAGGUAACGGAGGCGUACAAAGGUUCCCUCAGACUGGUUGGAAAUCAGUCGAAGAGUGCAAAGGCAGAAGGGAGCUUGACUGCGAGAAGUACAGUUCGAGCAGGGUGGAAACACGGUCUUAGUGAUCCGACGGUGCUGUGUGGAAGGGCCGUCGCUCAACGGAUAAAAGUUACUCUAGGAUAACAGGCUGAUCUCCCCCAAGAGUUCACAUCGACGGGGAGGUUUGGCACCUCGAUGUCGGCUCAUCGCAACCUGGGGCGGAAGUACGUCCCAAGGGUUGGGCUGUUCGCCCAUUAAAGCGGUACGUGAGCUCGGUUCAGAACGUCGUGAGACAGUUCGGUCCAUAUCCGAUGUAGGCGUGAGAAUAUUGAGAGGAGCCUUCCUUAGUACGAGAGGACCGGGAAGGACGCACCGCUGGUGUACCUGUUAUGAUGCCAAUUGUAAACGCAGGGUAGCCAAGUGCGGAGAGGAUAACCGCUGAAAGCAUCUAAGUGGGAAGCCCACCUCAAGAUGAGUAUUCUGGUGUAAGGUCACGGGAAGACGACCCGUAAAUAGGCACGAGGUGGAAGUGCAGAGAUGUAUGAAGCCGAAGUGUACUAAUAGACCGUCGGCUUGACCU
Molecule: ribosomal RNA, 1326 nt
Filed under: metagenome
Description: bacterial LSU rRNA
Rfam family: Bacterial large subunit ribosomal RNA
Source: RNAcentral